GAUGAACGCUGGCGGCGUGCCUAAUACAUGCAAGUCGAGCGAACGGACGAGAAGCUUGCUUUUCUGCUGUUAGCGGCGGACGGGUGAGUAACACGUGGAUAACCUACCUAUAAGACUGGGAUAACUUCGGGAAACCGGAGCUAAUACCGGAUAAUAUUUUGAACCGCAUGGUUCAAAAUUGAAAGACGGUCCUGCCUUCAACUAGAGAUGGAUCCGCGCUGCAUUAGCUAGUUGGCAAGGUAACGGCUUACCAAGGCAACGAUGCAUAACCGACCUGAGAGGGGGAUCGGCCACACUGGACCGGAGCGACGGUCCAGGCUCCAAGGGGAGGAACCGUAAGGGAAUCUUCGGCAUGGGGCGAAGGCUGGACGGAGCAACGCGGCUGGAGUGAGGAGGGUCUUCGGUUGUUAAGACCCGGUGAGUGGGGAGGAACAUAUGUGUAAGUAGCUGUGCGCAUCGUGACGGUACCUAAUCAGAAAGCCACGGCUAACUACGUG
Molecule: ribosomal RNA, 497 nt
Filed under: uncultured bacterium
Lineage: Bacteria
Description: partial 16S ribosomal RNA
Rfam family: Bacterial small subunit ribosomal RNA
Source: RNAcentral